GGGCACUCAUCCGGCACAAAACGCCGUUGGAUCUGCAGCUCCGCGUCGGCGCCCAGGCCCGCCACGGGCGCCGCCUGCCCGGUCACCCAGAGCAGCAGCAGGAGCAGCGGCGGCGGGGACCGCCAGCCCCGGGCCCUGAACGCCAUCGGCGGCGGCGGGGAGAGGAGCCGGGGCGGGAUUUUUCUUUUAAUAUUUAGAGAACGAGGGAGGCGUGUAUUGCGAGGCUCCGCUGACCGUUGUUCAGCGAAAAGUUUUUAAGUUGCUGAGUGAUCCUCAAGCCAUCUGUGGGUGCCCUGUGAGCUGAUACUUAGGAGCAAGCAUGCCACGUGGUCUCAGCCGCGUGACUGAGCUCAGAAAGACCCAGAUGCCGCAGGAAACUCAUUAGUUUCAGUGCAUUCUUAGUUUAGAAUUGGUUAUUCUUACUUAUUAAAACGUUGGAUAAAUGAAAGCAAAUCAC
Molecule: non-coding RNA, 457 nt
Organism: Manis javanica (Malayan pangolin)
Lineage: Eukaryota; Metazoa; Chordata; Mammalia; Pholidota; Manidae
Source: RefSeq, a predicted model, not a curated record